AAGAAUAAAGAACAAGAGAAGAAACAUUCUAACGACAAGAUUACGAAGAAAUAUGAAGAAGGUAGAAAGAAGAAAGCAAUGUCGAAAGAAAAGAAUAAAGAACAAGAGAAGAAACAGUCUAACGAAAAAAUUACGAAGAAAAAUGAAGAAGAUAGAAAGAAGAAAGCAAUGUCUAAAGAAAAGAAUAAAGAACAAGAGAAGAAACAAUCUAACGACAAGAUUACGAAGAAAUAUGAGGAAGGUAGAAAGAAGAAAGCAAUGUCUAAAGAAAAGAAUAAAGAACAAGAGAAGAAACAGUCUAACGAAAAAAUUACGAAGAAAAAUGAGGAAGAUAGAAAGAAGAAAGCAAUGUCGAAAGAAAAUAAAUCGAAAACAAAGGGAGAAAAUAAGAAACCAAAAGAAAAUGAAGACAAGAAGAAAGAGUCUAAAGAGGAUAACUCAAAGCAAGGAGGAGUUCAAGCAACAACUCAAAUAGAAGGUGGAGAAGGUAAGAAUGAAAUGAAAACAGAUGCUCAAGUAAAAAGGGAAGAGUCUUUAAAAGAUAAGAAAGGAGACAAUAAAGAAGAUCAUGACGAAAAAGUGGAUAAAGAAAACGAUGAACAUUAUAAAAAGAAAACUGGAAAGAUCAUAAAAGAUAAGGAUGCAUCAGACAAAGAGAUAGAAGAUACAAAGUCAGAAGAAAAGCACAAAGAUAAGAAAGAAGCCUCGAUGAAAAAGAAUGAAGGGGUUCAAGAAGCCAAUGUCACAUCAAAUAUCAGCGGGAAGAAAGAUCAAAAUGAGUCUACUCAUGAUACAUCUAAAGAUAUUAAUAAGAAUGAUGAAUUCUUAAGGAAGCAAAAACAAGUUGAUGAGGGUCACGUAAAUAUUGGAGACUCGGAUAAGAAGGCAUCAGAAAAAAAGAUAGAUGAUACAAAGUCAAAAGAAAAACACAAAGAUAAGGAAGAAGCCUCGAUGAAAAAGAGUGAAGGAGUUCAAGAAGCCAAUACUACAUCAAAUAUCAGCGGGAAGAAAGAUCAAAAUGAGUCUACUGAUGAUACAUCUAAAAAUAUUAAUAAGAAUGACGAGACCUUAAAGAAGCAAAAACAAGUUGAUGAGGGUCAAGUAAAUAUUGGAGACUCGGAUAAGAACACGAAAGGGGAAACCAAAGAAAAUAAUGGAGAUUUAGUGAACGGUACAAGUAUAGAGGUUAGCGGAGGAAGCAAAGAGUCCGAAGAUGGUAAAAACAAUGAAACUAAUCAAACUAAGAAUAACUCCAUGAAGGAAGUUUCCAGUGACGGUAAAAAGGUGGAAACCAAAGGAGGUAAAGAAGGUUCUAUAGAGGAAAGCUCCAAAGAUAAUAUUGGAGGCAAGGAAGAAAAUUCCAAAGAUGAUAAGAAAGUUGAACAUAACGAAGCUAAAAGAGAUUUCAAGGAAGGAGGUUCCAAAGAUGGUAACGCAACUAAAAUCAAUGAAGGUUAUAAAGAAGAUUCCAAAAAUAAAGAUUCUAAAGAAAGUUCUGAAGAGGAAAGUCUCAAAGAUGCUAAGAUAGUUGAGACAAGUGGAAGCAAGAAUCGCACGGAAAAAGGUUCUAAAGAUGAUAACACAACGAACAUCAAUGGAGGCAAAAACGAUUUGAAAGAUGGUAAAUUAGUUGAAACUAGUAAAGGUACAAAUUCCACAAAUGAA
Molecule: long non-coding RNA, 1665 nt
Filed under: Capsella rubella
Lineage: Eukaryota; Viridiplantae; Streptophyta; Magnoliopsida; Brassicales; Brassicaceae
Description: long non-coding RNA (CRUB_LNC002523)
Source: RNAcentral